This 744-nucleotide unclassified non-coding RNA is filed under the name Leishmania donovani. RNAcentral's name for it is "gene:LdHU3.05.1310(CDS-product:hypothetical_prote in)". Lineage: Eukaryota; Euglenozoa; Kinetoplastea; Trypanosomatida; Trypanosomatidae. The record is from RNAcentral.
CCGCGCAUGCAGCGGGAUGUCGCGCUUUGCUGAGCACCUGCUGGACGUGGCCCGGGGGCACGGCGGUGGCGCCAUCCACGGCCUCAAGGCCAUCUCCCGCUCUCUCGUCGAGGAUGACGAGGACAUCUUAAUGCUUCUCGUCCUCCUCGGCAUUCCGGCCCUCCUGGUUAUGUGGGUCAUCUCCCGCUGUAUCGAUCGUGCUCACAGCCGCGUCCGCUACGCCUCGGAGUAUCGUGCUGUGGACAGCAACGACUACGCCACAUCAAGCAGCAGCUCAUCCGAUGGCAGUCGCAGCAGCGAUGACGAUGUGGGUGGCAAUGCGAUACACCAGGGUAACCGCCGUUCAUGGUGCCGACCGACCAUGGAUGAGGUAGCGCGGGCGGCGCAGCAGCUGACGGAGCAAGAGGCAACGCGCCGCUGUCGUAGCCGACGUUUAGCGGCGCGGUACGGACACGGUGAAGAUGCGUCAGCGCAGGCCGCCCCGGAUGGAGAAACGGCGGGCAGUGACUAAAAAUGCAUGCAGAAAGCGCAGUCUGUGUGUGUGUGUGUGUGUGUGUGUGUGUGCAUGUGGCAUCUGCAGUGAAGGCUCGGCAGACCCCGUCGGCGCACUUGCAUCGGUGUGUUCUAGUAUGCGUAUUGCUUUGUGUCCGUACUCUCCUCACCCACCCCAACUAUCGCCCGCCAAGUCCACCUCGCGCUCACCCCCCUCCCUCUCCUCCUCCUCCUCCUCCCGUCAUCUUUCAG